GGUACUAUGAAACACUAUAUCUAUUUCCAUUGUUUAUUAGUUGGAACAAAGCAUAUCAUAGUCUUCUUACCUACUUCCAAUGAAUUAAUAAGGUUCAUAGCAUCAUAUGUAUUAUUUUAUUUUCAUCUAUGCUUUUGUACUGUAGUGCACUGUACGCUUUGCUACCCAGAAAGCUUGUUAUUUGGUCUUCUUCAAAAAGAAAAUUGAAGAUUAUGCUUUUCUUGCAGCGCCUAAUCGUUAUAGUUGCUCUAUCAAAUGUAGGCUGAAAUAGAAAAGGUUAAGAAAAGAAGAGAAGAAAGAGCUAUUGAAAAGACACAGCAUGAAGAGGAAAUGACAUUGCUAGCUAGAGAAAGAGCAUGUGCCGAGUUUCAAGACUGGGAGAAGAAAGAGGAAGAGUUUCAUUUUGACCAAAGCAAGGUCAGGUCUGAGAUCAGGUUGCGGGAGGGGCGUACAAAGCCUAUUGAUGUUCUCCAAAAGAAUCUUAAUUUCUUAGAUGAAUUUGACAUUGAGUUAAAUGAACCCUAUCUGGUGUUCAAGGUGAGCAUCAUUUGCUCAUCCUUAUCUAAGUGUAAGUCGACUGAAAAAAGCUUUGUCCCUGCAGCACCCUACCUGUGUAAUUUUCUGUAUGUUUUUUGAAGCCAGCUGUUGUAUAUUCUGACACCAUCGCACAGUACAUCAAAUGCAUUUUAUAACUUAGCAGUUCCUGAAAUAUGUGUUUUUUGCAAUAAACUGGAGGAUGAGAUGCACGAGGAUGAAGAUGAUAAACGAUAUUCAUCUGAGCCUAUACCUCAACAGACAGAUAACCAAUUUGAAGAGGAAGAUGGAUCCUUUUCUCCACAGCUAAUGCAUGGCAACGAAGAUGAAGAUGCAAUUGAUCCUGAAGAAGACAAAGAUGAGCUGGUAGAGUUCUAUGUUAGGGCAAAAAGUUCUACUGAGAUUUUCUUUCAUUUAGACAAACUUUCAAGCUUGUGCAGGCCUCCCUGUGUGUCUUACCCUAAGAGAGGACAUUGAUUCAUUUAGAUCUUACUUUUGAUGGCAAUGCUCCUUAUGGUGGCUUAAA
This is an RNA transcript of Zea mays, 1060 nucleotides long. RefSeq lists it as uncharacterized. Lineage: Eukaryota; Viridiplantae; Streptophyta; Magnoliopsida; Poales; Poaceae. The record is from RefSeq and is a predicted model, not a curated record. The transcript has 4 exons.